Molecule: ribosomal RNA, 253 nt
Filed under: uncultured bacterium
Lineage: Bacteria
Description: partial 16S ribosomal RNA
Rfam family: Bacterial small subunit ribosomal RNA
Source: RNAcentral
UACGAAGGGGGCUAGCGUUGUUCGGAAUCACUGGGCGUAAAGGGCGCGUAGGCGGCUUUGUAAGUCGGGGGUGAAAGCCUGUGGCUCAACCACAGAAUUGCCUUCGAUACUGUUUGGCUUGAGACCGGAAGAGGUUAGUGGAACUGCGAGUGUAGAGGUGAAAUUCGUAGAUAUUCGCAAGAACACCAGUGGCGAAGGCGGCUGACUGGUCCGGUUCUGACGCUGAGACGCGAAAGCGUGGGGAGCAAACAGG